RNAcentral lists this non-coding RNA (229 nucleotides) under Lentilactobacillus diolivorans. Its description in RNAcentral is "Lactobacillus diolivorans T-box sequence". It matches the Rfam family "T-box leader". From Rfam's summary of the family: Uncharged tRNA acts as the effector for transcription antitermination of genes in the T-box leader family. T-boxes are found upstream of many aminoacyl-tRNA synthetase genes and some amino acid biosynthetic genes usually in Gram-positive bacteria. The anticodon of a specific tRNA base pairs to a specifier sequence within the T-box motif, and the NCCA acceptor tail of the tRNA base pairs to a conserved bulge in the T-box antiterminator hairpin. The record is from RNAcentral. Lineage: Bacteria; Bacillati; Bacillota; Bacilli; Lactobacillales; Lactobacillaceae.
CGUUAUGUAAAGAAGAGAAGAGUAGCAGUGAUCAUUCCUUAUAGAGAGCCGGGUUGAUGGAAACCGGCAGGAGAGAUUACGGUGAAGAUGAGCUCUGAACAUUGACGCGUGUUCACGCACAAGUUACGGCAGGAUCCGUUACCAUCCCAGACAUUAAUCAGUGUCGUUGAGGUAAUUCAUGUAAGUGGAUUACGAAUUUGGGUGGUAACGCGAAGCUUUCGUCCCUUAG